RNAcentral lists this ribosomal RNA (440 nucleotides) under uncultured bacterium. RNAcentral describes it as "partial 16S ribosomal RNA". It matches the Rfam family "Bacterial small subunit ribosomal RNA", at positions 338 to 795 of the family's 1533-position model. The record is from RNAcentral.
CCUACGGGUGGCAGCAGUGGGGAAUAUUGCACAAUGGGGGAAACCCUGAUGCAGCGACGCCGCGUGAUUGAAGAAGUAUUUCGGUUUGUAAAGCUCUAUCAGCAGGGACGAAUUUUACGGUUCCUGAUUAAGAAGCCCCGGCUAACUACGUUCCAGCCGCCGCGGUAAUUCGUAGGGGGCAAGCGUUAUCCGGAUUUACUGGGUGUAAAGGGAGCGUAGACGGCAGCGCAAGUCUGGAGUGAAAUGCCGGGGCUUAACCCCGGAACUGCGUUGGAAACUGGGCAGCUAGAGUGAAGGAGAGGCAGGUGGAAUUCCUAGUGUAGAGGUGAAAUGCGUAGAUAUUAGGAGGAACACCAGUGGCGAAGGCGGUUUACUGGACAGUAACUGACGUUGAGGCUCGAAAGCGUGGGGAGCAAACAGGAUUAGAUACCCUUGUAGUC